RNAcentral lists this ribosomal RNA (253 nucleotides) under uncultured bacterium. RNAcentral describes it as "partial 16S ribosomal RNA". It matches the Rfam family "Bacterial small subunit ribosomal RNA", at positions 524 to 776 of the family's 1533-position model. The record is from RNAcentral.
UACGUAGGUUGCAAGCGUUGUCCGGAAUUACUGGGUGUAAAGGGCGUGUAGGCGGGACUGCAAGUCAGAUGUGAAAUUCCCAGGCUCAACCUGGGGGCUGCAUCUCAAACUGUGGUUCUAGAGUGCUGGAGAGGAAAGCGGAAUUCCUAGUGUAGCGGUGAAAUGCGUAGAGAUUAGGAAGAACACCAGUGGCGAAGGCGACUCUCUGGACCGUAACUGACGCUGAGGCAUGAAAGCGUGGGGAGCAAACAGG